GUUCAGGACUAGUUAACAACUACUGCCUCUGUACAAGGAGGUUUAUUCUUAAACAGGGUGUCCUUUGGCUCAAAGGAGAAAAGAUGCUGGACCACCUCCAAGUGACCCGGCAGCUUGGCUGGGAGGCCGUCAAGACGGGAGCUGCGACGGGAGCUGCGCGGUGUGUUUCAGGAAACUCUCCCGAGGGACCAGGUGGGGUGGCGCCCGGGAGGGGCUGGACGCCUGGUGAGGUUUGUGCCAGGGUCCCAGGUGCCGGGCCCGAGGCUAAGUCAGGACUUUCUUCCACCUGCUCCCGCUCUCAACAGCUCCCGUGCCGGCCUGGCCAGAGGAGAAGAAAUUCAAUCCUGUUCAGAAGACAAGGAAGGAGGCGGCUAGAAGCCUGGGGACAGUGUCGGGACACAGAGACACUCCCCGGGCUGCCGCAAACCAGCUCUGCCUGUCGGCCCGGUGUCAUCAUGUGACGAGUUAAGGCGUUUAAACGUCCUUGGCCGUCUGCGGGCUCCUGACAGCGCGGCAGGGAAGGAGCGCGCCCGCAGGUGGCUCACAGCAGUUUCGGUCUGGUUUCUGUGCGGCCGUCCAGCUGGCACAAUGCGCACGGCCUGACAUCCCUGGCCAGACGAGGCCUCACGAAGCGAGUUAGACAGAGGGAAGGAACGGACCUGCGCUCACAGGUGACACACAGGACACACCCUCCCUCCCUGGGGGCCCCCGGCCUUGCCUGCGGUCCCAGGUCACACGCGCCCACUGGGCUCCGUUGGCACCAGAGCUACUUCAGGAAGACGGAAGAGCCUUUUCCCCUGCAUUUCAAGGAAAAGCUAUUAAAGAAACCCUCACACAAAUAAAUCCUCACCAUAUGGAAUCUGCAUAAAACCAAGGAAGAAAAGUGGGAUUCUGGAAGAUGCACUGAGAAACCGCUGAAAUGAUGCUGACAGUUACUUUGGAAAGAAAAGAAAGUCUUCCAAUGCCAUGGCCUGGCCUGGCGUCCGCAGGGCCCCCCGGGAUUUCUUCUUCUUCGAGUGUCAGCGUCCUCGUCCCCGUGCAGACCUGGGCGUCCUCCGGGCUCCGCUCUGUUGAAACCAUGAACCUCGCCAUCUCCAGCCGGCUUAAACAACUGAGAGGCUACCUCGCCGCCAAAAGGUCCCGGGUGAAGGAGCUGGCCAUUAUCCCCGGGGCUGGUGACCACCAAGAGGUCGCCUGACCGGAUCACAGUGUUUGGAACAAAGCAAAGCCCACGCAGGCUUCGGCGACGUCAUUCUGAUUCGGCCGCAGCCGCCGGGUCCAGGAGCCCUGCGCUCCCUCCCCGCCGCCUCCCCCAGGUGCUGGGAGCAGGUGACCCUCCCUUUGCACAGGACACGCUCCCUGCAGACCCCUGACUCGCACAGGCUCUGCAGGGGCGCGGGGGGCUCCAGGGGGAAGAGACUGCUCACUGGGCAGACGACACACAGCCCAGGAACAGGCCACCGUGUGGGAGCUGUGACACACCCUGGGCUGCAGCUUCUCAGCUGGGACACCUCAAGGUGAGCCCAGAAGGACAGGGGAAGGGGAUGGGUGCAGGGAAAGAGGGCCCGGACGAGGGAGAGGCUUGUAUCUCCCACAUCAGGAGCUGGCUCCAGGCACCCAUGACCAUGAACCCAAGAGCCAUUCGUUCCCUUCGGGCCACAAAAGUCCUACAAGUUGCAAACAGAAACCCGUCUUCUGUGAAACUGUGCUUCCAGCUCCCGCCUUAAGGAUGGCCACGGGCUUCCAGGAAAGCUGUCUAAAGGGGGCCGAUUCAGCUAGAGAUGGAACAAAAGUGACCCGGACAUACACAGACAUAUACCUGUGCUCUCUCAGAAUUUUUUCCCACAUAGAUUAUCACAGAAUAACGUUCAGUUUUUUAUCUGAAAAUUAUUUUCAUAAAGAUUGUGAAUUAAAAUCUAGCAUUUCCUCCAAACAGACUAUUAUUUAUUUAAUAGAUAAUAGUCCUGCUAUUAUUUAUUAAAUAAUCUACAGUUUCCCUUACUAAUUUGAAUUGAAUCUAGAAUCUCUAUUCUCUGUUAUUAAAAUGCUUUUUGUUCGCUCCUGCA
Long non-coding RNA from Phacochoerus africanus (Common warthog), 2066 nucleotides. RefSeq lists it as uncharacterized. The record is from RefSeq and is a predicted model, not a curated record. The transcript is spliced from 2 exons. NCBI's taxonomy places the organism in Eukaryota, Metazoa, Chordata, Mammalia, Artiodactyla, Suidae.